AAGAAAAAGGCUUAGUUCUUUCCCCGCCUGUGGAGUCUGCACAUUGGAUUUGUGCCCUCCCAAAUCCUGUUCUGGCCAGGAGGCUUCUCACCCUGUUCAAAUUGUUACAAAGUUCAGCGAGAGAUUUCCUUCUCCCUGUGUAGUUUCACUCCCUGUUCCUCUCCCGCUGGAUCCCUGUGGUGCCAGGCAGGAAUGGCGUGCGAGGCGACCCAGCCAGCUCCCAGGGCCUUUCUGCUGCUUCCUCUACUUAUGUAUUUCACUCAGCUCUCCAAACUGACUCAGCUCCAGAAGAGGCGAGUGCUGGGUGCCUCUAGUCAACCAUGUUGAUGACGUCCUUUCUAGAAAACACCCUGAUACCUUGUGCCUGUGCUUCCAAGGUGGCUGACGCUGUGCCUGUGCUUCCGAGGUGGCUGACUUCUAACUGAGUGCAGUGGAGACCCCGUGGUGCUUUACAGAACAGAUGGCAGUGCUGCCCAAGCUCAGAACACAGCUGGACGGAUCCCCAUUUUUAAAAUGUUGCUUUUAAAGUUCCUUGGUCUAUUUUAAGUCUUAGACAAUAGAGCACUAAUUUGUGUCCACAGCUAGGGAAAAAGCACCCCAAAUACUCAUGUUAUGUCACUUUCAGUACCACAAUUCAAAUAGUGAAAGACGAUGCUUCCAUGUACCACGUAUAGGUCUCUACUAGUGAUUUUUCUCUCAUUUCAACCUAGCUUCACAUAUUUUUAUGGUAUAGCUAACUCAACAUUGAUUCUAUACAAAAUAUAUUAUCUAAGAUAGUCUUUAAAAAUAUUUGAAUUCCACUGGGAUUUGUUUAAACCCCUACACAAAUAAUUACCUCUUACUAAAAACACUGAGUUUGGCAAGUGAAAUUUUGUAAUAAGGUGAAGAUUCAAUAAAAUCUUGUCUCAAACUAAUGGGCUCUGGCAACUUUUAUUUUUUUUUUCUGUAAAUUCUGUCUAUGGCACGACUGCUGUUAGGCCAAAUAGAUGUCCUCUGCAAUAAUGAUCGUAAUGGUACAAUGACAGAUGGCAAGCCAUGGGGGCCAGUCUACUGUCUGGAAAGGAGCACGAAAUUUUAACUCUGUCUCCCUUUG
Molecule: long non-coding RNA, 1093 nt
Filed under: Homo sapiens (human)
Lineage: Eukaryota; Metazoa; Chordata; Mammalia; Primates; Hominidae
Description: HSALNT0391332
Source: RNAcentral